This is a long non-coding RNA of Olea europaea var. sylvestris, 1035 nucleotides long. RefSeq lists it as uncharacterized. The record is from RefSeq and is a predicted model, not a curated record. The transcript is spliced from 3 exons. NCBI's taxonomy places the organism in Eukaryota, Viridiplantae, Streptophyta, Magnoliopsida, Lamiales, Oleaceae.
UUACUCAUUGAACUUUGAAAAAUUGCACUCCAUCACUCAUCAGUAACUUCCAUCUAACCCAGUUGCCUCCAUGGACAAUAGUUUGCACACGUGGCCGUUAAAUUGGUCCAUCUCAAUAAUGAAUUGCCAAGUCACUAAUACCAAACCCCUAACAAGCAAUUCAAACUGAAGGCGCGAGAUGAAAACUUCAUUCCAGAACGAGAUCUUCAUCUCUCAAACCAGAAUUUCCCAAAUCCAAUUCAAUCCUAACCCCCAACUUCGAUAACAAACACAACUUACCUCAAAAGUGAAAUCACGAUCUAGAAUCUCACCCGCCCAAAAAAGAUCGAACAAUUGCACUGUUAAAGGUGAACCCUAACCGAACGUCCGUCGCCGUUGAUGUCCACAACCAACCAACCACCAAUACUGGGUUUUUCAAGAAGCGCACAUGGAGGAAGAGAAUCGAGAUACGAAGGAUGACACUGAAUUCAAUGAUUCCAAUAAAGAUAUAUGCUCUAGUGAAGAUGAUAUGCUACUUGACAAAAUGUCACAGAGGGAAUUGAAUUAAGUACUUAUGAUAUUAUUUAGUUGAAGGAAUAGAGUUGGCUCGAGCCAAGCACACGAGGAAGUUUAUAGAUUUGAAUUCAUACUAACUCCGGGCAUCGAGCAGCAAUCAAAAUUUUGAAGCUAGUAUGAACUUGGAUAUCUAAUUUUUGAAGGCAUCAUGGUUCAUGUUUGUGUAGUUUUUGAUGUGUUCUUUGUGAUUGAACAUCUAACUUUUGAAGGCAGUGAUGGGUGCCGUGUUUGUGUAGUUUUUGAUGUGGUUUUUGUACUGGUGUUGCUUUCUGUUUGAGGGAAUAAGGGAUGAAGUGAGUGAAACUGUUGUUGCUGGUUUUCUUUAUUAUUGUGAAGGCAGAAAGAGCAGAAGCGCCAUUUAGGAAUGCAAGGAUAUUGAAUGUCGUGUUUGUGUAGUUUUUGAUGUGGUUUUUUCUCUCUUUACAUAUGUUGUAAAGUUUCGUUACAUAUUAACCAGAGACUAGUUCACAAGCAUACUAA